Molecule: small nucleolar RNA, 136 nt
Filed under: Genlisea aurea
Lineage: Eukaryota; Viridiplantae; Streptophyta; Magnoliopsida; Lamiales; Lentibulariaceae
Description: Small nucleolar RNA snoR104
Rfam family: Small nucleolar RNA snoR104
Source: Rfam by way of RNAcentral
AGGAAACAUGGAGAGUUUUUCCAUGUUUCCUGAUACAAUCUUCCUACAGAAAUUAAAAAAAAAAACUUCUGCUGUUUUUUCCUGCUUGUAGCUGCUGAACAUGAGCUACAAGUUUCAAAAAUCAUCAGGCAGACAC